RNAcentral lists this transfer RNA (89 nucleotides) under Deltaproteobacteria bacterium CG11_big_fil_rev_8_21_14_0_20_45_16. RNAcentral describes it as "tRNA-Ser". It matches the Rfam family "tRNA". Rfam says of the family: Transfer RNA (tRNA) molecules are approximately 80 nucleotides in length. Their secondary structure includes four short double-helical elements and three loops (D, anti-codon, and T loops). Further hydrogen bonds mediate the characteristic L-shaped molecular structure. tRNAs have two regions of fundamental functional importance: the anti-codon, which is responsible for specific mRNA codon recognition, and the 3' end, to which the tRNAs corresponding amino acid is attached (by aminoacyl-tRNA synthetases). tRNAs cope with the degeneracy of the genetic code in two manners: having more than one tRNA (with a specific anti-codon) for a particular amino acid; and 'wobble' base-pairing, i.e. permitting non-standard base-pairing at the 3rd anti-codon position. Lineage: Bacteria; Deltaproteobacteria. The record is from RNAcentral.
GGAGAGGUGGGUGAGUGGCUGAAACCGACGGAUUGCUAAUUCGUUGUGCGGGUAACACCGUACCGAGGGUUCGAAUCCCUCCCUCUCCG